RNAcentral lists this ribosomal RNA (493 nucleotides) under uncultured bacterium. RNAcentral describes it as "partial 16S ribosomal RNA". It matches the Rfam family "Bacterial small subunit ribosomal RNA", at positions 27 to 507 of the family's 1533-position model. The record is from RNAcentral.
GAGUGAACGCUGGCGGUAGGCCUAACACAUGCAAGUCGAACGGCUGCACAGUAAGAGCUUGCUCUUACGGGUGGCGCGUGGCGGACGGGUGAGGAAUACAUCGGAAUCUACUUUUUCGUGGGGGAUAACGUAGGGAAACUUACGCUAAUACCGCAUACGACCUACGGGUGAAAGCAGGGGAUCUUCGGACCUUGCGCGAUUGAAUGAGCCGAUGUCGGAUUAGCUAGUUGGCGGGGUAAAGGCCCACCAAGGCGACGAUCCGUAGCUGGUCUGAGAGGAUGAUCAGCCACACUGGAACUGAGACACGGUCCAGACUCCUACGGGAGGCAGCAGUGGGGAAUAUUGGACAAUGGGCGCAAGCCUGAUCCAGCCAUACCGCGUGAGUGAAGAAGGCCUUCGGGUUGUAAAGCCCUUUUGUUGGGAAAGAAAAGCAGCAGGUUUAUACCCCGCUGUUCUGACGGUACCCAAAGAAUAAGCACCGGCUAACUUCGUG